Molecule: long non-coding RNA, 3213 nt
Filed under: Marmota monax (woodchuck)
Lineage: Eukaryota; Metazoa; Chordata; Mammalia; Rodentia; Sciuridae
Source: RNAcentral
GAGGUGGGUAACUAGCACUAUCCCCAGAGGUAGGAAGGGUGCUAAACAGUGUCUCCUGGAAGCCAGUCACAGUCUGAGGGCUGAGACCACCCUGGACCCUGUGGUUCUGAGAACAUGGGUAUAAGAUCAGAGUUCUCAGCAUGCGCCUAGUCCCAACCCUAGGACAGGAUGUAAAGGCCAGUCCAUUGCCUUCUCAGCAGCCUAAACCUUUACAACCAGACAAGAGGCUUUGCUGAAAUUUGUGCUUAGGAACACGGAUUCCUUCAAUAUGGAUGCUGAAGAGCAUCUGAAAGACUGGGAAAAUGCAGUUUCACUGCCACAGGGAGCCAUCCUCAUGUACCAAGCGCUCAGAGAGCCCACAAUGGGGCAAUGAGGGUGGUGGGGAAGGGACUGGAUACAUCAUGGCUUUAUUUAAGUUAUUCUACUGAAUCCUGAGAAUAACACUAGAAGGCAGGUAUUAUUUUGCAAUGUUUUACUGAGGAAGACACACAGGCUCAGAGAGCUUUAGGGACAUACCCAAGGCCUCACUUCUAGAGAGAGAGAACCCAGGGUUCCAUCAGGUAUCACAAGGCACACACUUCAGCAGGGUCUCCCUGGUUCCUGGGAGGCCUGUUGCCUGGGGGACACUCAUGUGGCUUCCUGUCUGUUUCCAGAGUUGCCAGGAAGGUUUGCAGACAGGUCUAGCUGUGUCUCCUGGAACUUGAGAUUGUAGAUACAGAGUCUCCCCAUGGCUCCUAGUCACAUCCACAACACCAGGAGAAUGAUAAUGAAAGUUUCCUGACCCUGUUCUCCAGAGGGAUGAUUGAGCACUCACUGCCACCUUCUGCUACAACAUGUGUGUCCUCAAAUCCUCCUGCUCUUAUUCAGGUUGCCCUUCACCCUAAUCCUAGUCACUGGCUUUUUUUUUUUUCUCUUGGAAGCUGCGUAUGAACUACUGGAUUUGUUUGAGCCACCAUAAGGCAGGGAGGCUGCUUUUCUGGGAACUCCCAGGUGAAAUUCCUUGUUUUUUUGAGAAAGCCCAGAUCAUGCUGGCAGAUAGCCAAAACUCAGAGCCCUAGUUUCAAAUGCAGCCACCAGAGAUAGGCAUAACCUAUCAAGCCCAAACAACUAUUUUCCCCACUCUUAUCCUGUUUUCCUGAAGAAGCCUGCCCACUGAAACCCUUUGAUGUCUUCUAUUAUAAAUAAAGCAUUUGUUGGCUGUUUUGCUUUGUUAGGAUUACACCCAUCAGGGCUAUCCAACCCGUUAUGCCCCUGCUUUUGGACAUAUAAUUCUUGUUUUCUGUCUUUAUGUCUUUUUAACAUUUUUUAAUUAAAAAAGCAUGCCUUCAUUUAAUUUGUUCCAUUUUUAUGUGGUGCUGAAGAUUGAAGCCAGUGUCUCACUCAUGCUAAGCAAGCACUCUCCCACUGGGCUACAGUCCCAGCUCCUGUCUUUAUUUCUUAAUAUUACAUUCAUAGCUUUUAUUUCCAGCCUGCUUACACCUCUGAUGGUUACCCACUCCCUCCUCAUGCAGGAUGUGGACAGAAUUUCUUGACCAUCUUGUCUACUUUCAUCCUCCUCAUGUUCUUGUGGCUCCUUGCUAUAGAUCACUGCAAGUCACAUUUGGCCAUGGCCAUGUGUUUUUGCACAGACCUGGUUGACAUCACCCAAUCCUAAAUCAGUGUGUGUGGCUCCUGCUACUGGAUGGCUGACUCUGAGGGGUAGGUGGUGGGCACAGCGAGUGCUCUCCCAGUGGCAGGCUCCCACCCCUUAUGGAAGAAGCAAUUGCAGUUGCUUUGCCCCUCAGUGGUCAUGGAACACUGAAGUAAGGUGAUCGCAAAAGCCCUUGUCAGGAUUAUUCUCCAGUCCGUCUCGUUCAGGGCUACAGUGAAGUUGAUCUUGAGGCUGCCAUGGUUCAAUAUAGUGCUGUGGGCCCCUACCAGAAUAUGCACUUCCAGAAACAGGCCAGUCUUUCUUUGGCAAGGUUUGGAAGAUAGGAGCUAUACUUAAAUUUCACUUACUAUGAAGCAUAUGGAAAAACAACAACUCCCAAGGAGAAAGGGAGUAUAAUUGGCUCUGAAUUUGUUGCAAUUUUCCUUAUCUACAACCAGCCCCCUGGCUGCCCAAGGUCUCUCUCCAACCAUAAUCAACACUAUUCUGCUAGGACUCAGCCCCUCUACACUAUAAAACUCAAACCAUUAUUUUAGUCAGUUGCCAUUUUCGCUUAUGAAAAUUUGCCCCUUUACUGCUUAAUAAUGCAUUGCUGAUUCAUUGAGAUCUGCCUAAUAUUUAGUUCUAUAUUCUUUUUCAUUUGGUGCCAAAACCCGGGAUGGGGUUUCGGUGCUCCUUACUCCUCCCUGUCCUACUGAACCUCUACUGUAUUUUCAUAUUUCCCUCCCAUUUCUUUCUCUUUCUCUUUCCAUGUAUUACUCAAAUACCUCCAGAUCAGAGGCAGCUUUUUGCCAUUUUUCUUCUGCACGCAACAGUGACCAUCUUCUUUAGAGAGGUAAGAUCACUUCCAGUCUCCAGAGAGGUGCCUUGCCCAAGACCCUCCACCUUUUGGCUCAUCGGGACCUCAGGGUCCCCCCACCAUUAAGGUUGUAUAAGGGGAUGCCUCCUCAUUCUCUGGUGAAAGUCUUUCCAGUGACAGGAGACAUUAAAGGACACUUUGAUCUUGACCCGCCACCCCAGUCCAUCCUUUACAACAGGGGAGCUACCCAGUCUAUUCCAGGGGACUCCCCCUUAGGUUGUCUUACAAAUAAUUUUAAGACCCUCCACUUCCAAACUCACCUCAAACUAACACCUCAUUAGGCUUAGUACACAGAUCUGGCUACAGUCUAAAUUAGACAAGUUAAGUUAAUGGCCUGAAUUUGGAAUUUGGGAUCAAAAAUCCUCCAAGGGAGAUGGGUAUGUGGCUCUGUAGUAGAAACAGUUAUCUGGCAUGUGUGAGGCCCUGGGUUUGAUUAUCAGCACUGCAUAUAAACAAAUAAAAUAAAGUUCCAUCAACUUUUAAAAAAAUAUUUAAAAAAAAAAUCUUCCAAGACUUAGACAAUUUAUUCCAAUGAAAUGGCAAAUGGCCUGAGGUUCCUUACCUCCGAGCUUUCUUUUAUCUUCACUCAAGGACCUCAUUAUGUGCUGGGAGCCAUUUGCCAAGUAGGUAUGACAAUUUCCUUGCCAGCGUACCCCAUGUUGCUUAGUGGAAGGACUCGUGGAAAUAGGACAUUUUGCAGUGACAU